This 253-nucleotide ribosomal RNA is filed under the name uncultured bacterium. RNAcentral describes it as "partial 16S ribosomal RNA". It matches the Rfam family "Bacterial small subunit ribosomal RNA", at positions 524 to 776 of the family's 1533-position model. The record is from RNAcentral.
UACAGAGGUGCCGAGCGUUAGGCGGAAUCACUGGGCUUAAAGCGUGUGUAGGCGGACUUCUAAGUACCUUGUGAAAUCCCACGGCUCACCCGUGGAACUGCUGGGUAUACUGGUCGUCUUGAGCCACCUAGGGGCGAGCGGAACAAAUGGUGGAGCGGUGAAAUGCGUAGAUAUCAUUUGGAACGCCAACGGUGAAAACAGCUCGCUGGGGGUGUGCUGACGCUGAGGCGCGAAAGCUAGGGGAGCAAACAGG